RNAcentral lists this ribosomal RNA (425 nucleotides) under uncultured bacterium. RNAcentral's name for it is "partial 16S ribosomal RNA". It matches the Rfam family "Bacterial small subunit ribosomal RNA", at positions 354 to 796 of the family's 1533-position model. The record is from RNAcentral.
GUGGGGAAUAUUGGACAAUGGGCGCAAGCCUGAUCCAGCAAUGCCGCGUGGGUGAAGAAGGUCUUCGGAUCGUAAAGCCCUUUCGACAGGGACGAUGAUGACGGUACCUGUAGAAGAAGCCCCGGCUAACUUCGUGCCAGCAGCCGCGGUAAUACGAAGGGGGCUAGCGUUACUCGGAAUUACUGGGCGUAAAGGGCGCGUAGGCGGCUCUGUUAGUCAGGCGUGAAAUUCCUGGGCUUAAACUGGGGACUGCGCUUGAUACUGCAGGGCUUGAGGCGGAGAGAGGGUGGUGGAAUUCCCAGUGUAGAGGUGAAAUUCGUAGAUAUUGGGAAGAGCACCGGUGGCGAAGGCGACCACCUGGCUCGGUUCUGUCGCUGAGGCGCGACAGCGUGGGGAGCAAACAGGAUUAGAAACCCCAGUAGUCC